GAUGAACGCUGGCGGCGUGCCUAAUACAUGCAAGUCGAGCGAACAGACGAGGAGCUUGCUCCUCUGAUGUUAGCGGCGGACGGGUGAGUAACACGUGGAUAACCUACCUAUAAGACUGGGAUAACUUCGGGAAACCGGAGCUAAUACCGGAUAACAUGUUGAACCGCAUGGUUCAACAGUGAAAGACGGUCUUGCUGUCACUUAUAGAUGGUUCCGCGCCGCAUUAGCUAGUUGGUAAGGUAACGGCUUACCAAGGCAACGAUGCGUAGCCGACCUGAGAGGGUGAUCGGCCACACUGGAACUGAGACACGGUCCAGACUCCUACGGGAGGCAGCAGUAGGGAAUCUUCCGCAAUGGGCGAAAGCCUGACGGAGCAACGCCGCGUGAGUGAAGAAGGUCUUCGGAUCGUAAAACUCUGUUAUUAGGGAAGAACAAAUGUGUAAGUAACUAUGCACGUCUUGACGGUACCUAAUCAGAAAGCCACGGCUAACUACGUG
Molecule: ribosomal RNA, 497 nt
Filed under: uncultured bacterium
Lineage: Bacteria
Description: partial 16S ribosomal RNA
Rfam family: Bacterial small subunit ribosomal RNA
Source: RNAcentral